This 465-nucleotide ribosomal RNA is filed under the name uncultured bacterium. RNAcentral describes it as "partial 16S ribosomal RNA". It matches the Rfam family "Bacterial small subunit ribosomal RNA", at positions 28 to 507 of the family's 1533-position model. The record is from RNAcentral.
GACGAACGCUGGCGGCGUGCUUAACACAUGCAAGUCGUACGGUAAGGCCCUUUCGGGGGUACACGAGUGGCGAACGGGUGAGUAACACGUGAGUAACCUGCCCACAACUUUGGGAUAACGCUAGGAAACUGGUGCUAAUACUGGAUAUGUGCUCCUGCUGCAUGGUGGGGGUUGGAAAGCUCCGGCGGUUGUGGAUGGACUCGCGGCCUAUCAGCUUGUUGGUGGGGUAGUGGCCUACCAAGGCGGCGACGGGUAGCCGGCCUGAGAGGGUGACCGGCCACCUUGGGACUGAGAUACGGCCCAGACUCCUACGGGAGGCAGCAGUGGGGAAUAUUGCACAAUGGGCGCAAGCCUGAUGCAGCAACGCCGCGUGCGGGAUGACGGCCUUCGGGUUGUAAACCGCUUUCAGCAGGGACGAAGCUUUUUGUGACGGUACCUGCAGAAGUAGCACCGGCUAACUACGUG